Molecule: ribosomal RNA, 253 nt
Filed under: uncultured bacterium
Lineage: Bacteria
Description: partial 16S ribosomal RNA
Rfam family: Bacterial small subunit ribosomal RNA
Source: RNAcentral
UACAGGGGGGGCAAGCGUUGUUCGGAAUUACUGGGCGUAAAGGGUUCGUAGGUGGCCACUUAAGUCAGACGUGAAAUCCCUCAGCUUAACUGGGGAACUGCGUCUGAUACUGAGUGGCUUGAGUGCAGGAGAGGAAUGCGGAAUUCCAGGUGUAGCGGUGAAAUACGUAGAUAUCUGGAGGAACACCGGUGGCGAAGGCGGCAUUCUGGACUGUAACUGACACUGAGGAACGAAAGCCAGGGGAGCAAACGGG